This 1545-nucleotide long non-coding RNA is filed under the name Homo sapiens (human). Its description in RNAcentral is "non-protein coding lnc-PSMB1-11:2". Lineage: Eukaryota; Metazoa; Chordata; Mammalia; Primates; Hominidae. The record is from RNAcentral.
AAAUCAGCACAUGCCUCCGCUGCUCGCAGCGGGCCUGGCCUCGGCCCCGGGCUCCACGCACGCGAGAGGUGGGCGUCUCGCGGGCCCGUGGCGCGGUUCGGACUCCCCCCACCGCAAAACGACCCCCCGACACGAACCAGGUGGGGUUGGAGCCCGUCUUCCUGUUCUCUGCACGGCCGCGGAUCCUGAGAAAGGAAAAGGGCGUGUGGCGCCGGGACCCGGCCGCACCGGGGAAGUCACUCGCCGGGUCUCCAGCGGCGCAGCCGCGGCCAGCGGGGAGGCUUAGGAGCCGCUGCGGGGCUGAUUCCUUCGCCCCCGGCUGCUGUUCUUGUGCCCCCACCGUCGCCCACCUUCGCGCAGAGCUGCCCGCGCCGGGGGUCGCGCUCCUGCCCGCUGUGGAAGCGCGGCUGCCUGGGGGCCGCGCGCCUUGUGUGCACGCGGGCGGCGCUCACCUCCUUCCUGCCUGCGCCAGCGCUGGUGGAGCCUCGAGGUCCAAACAUAAACCAGAUCGAUGCCCCCUCCCUUUUCCAGGCUGUGACGAACGAUGGCUUCGUGGGCUUGUAAGUCCACGCGCGGCAACCGAGUGUGAACACAUCUGUGCACCCACUUGGGUGGGCGUGGCUGGGCAGGGGACAUGGCCCAGUGAGUGUGUGUGUUGGGGGGUAAGGUCUAUGUUCACGUGUCCAAAGACAGCUUUAAGAAGUAAGCAGCAAGGAAGUAACCAUGAUAGCUCCAGGACACAGAGGCUUCGCCACGGACGCCUCUGAGAACUUCCCGUGUGGCAGCCAGCAGGUCCAUUCCUCUGCUACGUUAACUGCUUUCAGAUUCCAAAACUGACGGAAGGAGAAUGGGCAGAGGGUGGUUGGUGCAGAUGUGAUACCAAUACUAAUUAAUAAGCAUGGUCUACGUCCCCUUCUUCUUCUUCUUUAUUUCAAGUAAGCUGGCAUGUUUGAUCAACACCAGAUUUGCUGCCUGGAAGUUUUUUAUCUUGUUAUUCUGAACAAGGACCCUAAUUCUUCUUACGAAUAAGAGAACCUCUCUGUUGGGUAUACAGUAUUCAGUUGGUCUGAGAAAACACAAACCCCACUCAAGUCUCCAGACUUGUUUACACAGAAAACUGAACCUGUGGCUGGCCUAGAGUCUGAGCCUAUUCUGGGCAUUGUUUAUUGCAAUCUGCCCAGGCCCUCCUGCCCCCACCACAGUCACCACCACACACGAACCUGGAGAAUAGAACCUUUCUUUGGAAAGGGGGGUUGGAAUAGGAUUGAGUGACCAUGGUAUUAGGUCAUGCACACACUGCUGAGGAUGGCCGCACUGGAAUUUGAUAAGAUGAUGGCCAUAAGCUUUUAUUCCCAGGUGGCCUCAUAAAAUGGUGGGGAGAUACUCAGUGUCUCCAGCAAACAGAGAACUCCACAUGUGGUUGCUGUGGCUGCAGCUCUGAUCAUUAUACAGCCUGAGCUUACCCUAGACACUGGGGUUACUCAGCCUGUGGGGUUGUGCUGCCCAGAAAACAAAACAAAACAAAAAACACCACCACCAGGCAGC